Molecule: ribosomal RNA, 1054 nt
Filed under: uncultured beta proteobacterium
Lineage: Bacteria; Pseudomonadati; Pseudomonadota; Betaproteobacteria
Description: bacterial SSU rRNA
Rfam family: Bacterial small subunit ribosomal RNA
Source: RNAcentral
AAAGGUGUGCUAAUACCGCAUAAUCUCUCAGGAGAAAAGCAGGGGAUCGCAAGACCUUGCGCUUUAGGAGCGGCCGAUGCCUGAUUAGCUUGUUGGUAAGGUAAAAGCUUACCAAGGCUUCGAUCAGUAGCUGGUCUGAGAGGACGACCAGCCACACUGGGACUGAGACACGGCCCAGACUCCUACGGGAGGCAGCAGUGGGGAAUUUUGGACAAUGGGGGAAACCCUGAUCCAGCCAUGCCGCGUGAGUGAAGAAGGCCUUCGGGUUGUAAAGCUCUUUCAGCCGGAACGAAACGGUUACGAUUAAUACUCGUAAUUAAUGACGGUACCGGCAGAAGAAGCACCGGCUAACUACGUGCCAGCAGCCGCGGUAAUACGUAGGGUGCGAGCGUUAAUCGGAAUUACUGGGCGUAAAGGGUCCGCAGGUUGUUUUGUAAGUCAGAUGUGAAAGCCCCGGGCUUAACCUGGGAACUGCGUCUGAAACUACAAGGCUAGAGUAUGGCAGAGGGGGGUGGAAUUCCGCGUGUAGCAGUGAAAUGCGUAGAUAUGUGGAGGAACACCGAUGGCGAAGGCAGCCCCCUGGGUCAAUACUGACGCUGAGGGACGAAAGCAUGGGGAGCAAACAGGAUUAGAUACCCUGGUAGUCCAUGCCCUAAACGAUGUCAACUAGUUGUCGGGCCUUUACGGGCUUGGUAACGUAGCUAACGCGUGAAGUUGACCGCCUGGGGAGUACGAUCGCAAGAUUAAAACUCAAAUGAAUUGACGGGGACCCGCACAAGCGGUGGAUUAUGUGGAUUAAUUCGAUGCAACGCGAAAAACCUUACCUACCCUUGACAUGUAUCGAAGCCCGCAGAAAAGCGGAGGUGCCCGAAAGGGAACGAUAACACAGGUGCUGCAUGGCUGUCGUCAGCUCGUGUCGUGAGAUGUUGGGUUGAGUCCCGCAACGAGCGCAACCCUUGUCAUUAAUUGCCAUCAUUUAGUUGGGCACUUUAAUGAGACUGCCGGUGACGAACCGGAGGAAGGUGGGGAUGACGUCAAGUCCUCAUGGCCCUUA